AGAGUUUGAUCAUGGCUCAGAUUGAACGCUGGCGGCACGCUUAACACAUGCAAGUCGAACGGCAGCAUGUCAGGUACUUGUACUUGAUGAUGGCGAGUGGCGGACGGGUGAGUAAUGCGUAGGGACCUGCCUGGUAGAGGGGGAUACCUUUGGGAAACUGAAGUUAAACCCGCAUACGCUUGUGUGUUGAGAGACAGACAAGGAAAGGAUGGGAUGUUGAGAGACACCAUUUGCUACGAGAGGGGCCUGCGUUGGAUUAGCUGGUUGGUGGGGUAAAGGCCUACCAAGGCGAAGAUCUAUAGCUGUUCUGAGAGGAAGAUCAGCCACACUGGGACUGAGACACGGCCCAGACUCCUACGGGAGGCAGCAGUGGGGAAUAUUGGACAAUGGGGGGAACCCUGAUCCAGCGAUGCCGCGUGUGUGAAGAAGGCCUGCGGGUUGUAAAGCACUUUUGAUAGGGAAGAAGCGAGAGAGGCGAAUAGUCUUUUAAGUUGACGGUACCUAUAGAAUCAGCACCGGCUAACUCUGUGCCAGCAGCCGCGGUAAUACAGAGGGUGCAAGCGUUAAUCGGAAUGACUGGGCGUAAAGGGCGAGUAGGCGGAUGGAUAAGUGAGGUGAUAAAGACGUGGGCUCAACCUGUGGGCGACGCCUUAGACUGUUUAUCUAGAGACGAGGAGAGGGGAGUGGAAUUUCCGGAGGAGUGGUGAAAUACGUAGAUUUCGGAAGGAACACCGGUGGCGAAGGCGACUUUCUGGCCUCGUUCUGACGCUGAGGAGCGAAAGCGUGGGUAGCAAACAGGAUUAGAUACCCUAGUAGUCC
Molecule: ribosomal RNA, 819 nt
Filed under: uncultured bacterium
Lineage: Bacteria
Description: bacterial SSU rRNA
Rfam family: Bacterial small subunit ribosomal RNA
Source: RNAcentral